Molecule: ribosomal RNA, 498 nt
Filed under: uncultured bacterium
Lineage: Bacteria
Description: bacterial SSU rRNA
Rfam family: Bacterial small subunit ribosomal RNA
Source: RNAcentral
CGGCGUGCUUAACACAUGCAAGUCGAACGAGACGAUUUAGAAGCUUGCUUUUAUUGAGUCGAGUGGCAAACGGGUGAGUAACGCGUAGACAACCUGCCGCAAAGAUGGGGACAACAGUCCGAAAGGACUGCUAAUACCGAAUGUUGUGUCUCCUCCGCAUGGAAGAGAUAUUAAAGAUGGCCUCUACUUGUAAGCUAUCGCUUUGCGAUGGGUCUGCGUCUGAUUAGCUAGUUGGUGGGGCAACGGCCUACCAAGGCGACGAUCAGUAGCCGGUCUGAGAGGAUGAACGGCCACAUUGGAACUGAGACACGGUCCAGACUCCUACGGGAGGCAGCAGUAGGGAAUCUUCCGCAAUGGGCGAAAGCCUGACGGAGCAACGCCGCGUGAGUGAAGAAGGUCUUCGGAUCGUAAAGCUCUGUUGUCGGGGACGAAUGUUGAGGCUUAGAAUAUAGGUUUCAAAUGACGGUACCUGACGAGGAAGCCACGGCUAACUACGUG